This 1003-nucleotide long non-coding RNA is filed under the name Equus caballus (horse). RNAcentral's name for it is "lncRNA (ENSECAG00000037122.3)". Lineage: Eukaryota; Metazoa; Chordata; Mammalia; Perissodactyla; Equidae. The record is from RNAcentral.
CUGGGAUGUGGCUUGGGAAUCGGGAUUUUUAAACGCUCCCCUAGUGGCGGGCCCCGUGGCUGAGUGGUUAAGUUCUCUCGCUCCGCUUCGGAGCGCCGGUUCAGAUCCUGGGCGCAGACAUGGCACCACUCAUCAGGCCAUCCUGUGGAGUCAUCCCACAUGCCACAACUAGAAGGACCCACAACUAAAAUAUACAACAGCCAUAAUGCCCAGCUUCUAUUCAGGAUGAGCUUUCCCAGUGCCUUACCUCUAUAGACAGAACCUUCUUCACUAACGCAAAACACAUAAAUUAGGGAGGAGGGGGCCAAGGCUGCACAGGAAGGGGAGUGAGAGCCUCUGAGUGGAGGAAGACCAUUUCGUCCUUUGUCCUGGGAAACAAAGGAGGUUUCCAACAGCAGAGGGAAAUUGCAAUUGAAGAAAGAUCUUACAUCAUACCAAGAGCGGAGGUUCCAGAGACGUGAUUUUCAAUUUAUCAAGAUGGGCAAUGGAUACUUUCAGUGUUCCUUGAGUAACAGAAAUGGCUUUUUUAUUGGAAUGAAACAGCAGCUGGACGUUCAGUAGGGGCAGAAGUCUUUUGGGUGGAAUUGCAGAGAAGUGCCAUGCUCCUGUCCCUUGGAGGAAGGAAAGAAGACAUAAUACUAAGUCAAGUGAAGAUGUUAUACUAAGUCUGGAGUUUUGAUAUCUUGAGCUGGACAUUCUUAUUAUUGCAUUAGUCACUGCAUUAGCGUAAAGUAACCAGAUUUCACCUAUUACCCGAGAAUCAGCAGUGAUGCCUUGCAACAGACAGAGUGUUUGUCCUGAGGCAAAGGAGGGUUAUAUCCACUAAAUGUAAUUAAAGGGGACCUGGGAGACAAAAAUAAAGUUAUAUAAUGUUUGUAAAACAACGUGGUUAUAGAAAUUAGGCUAUUGGUACCCUAAUGAGAACACACACAGUACAUAAUAAAGAAAAUGCCAGGCCUAUCUGAGAAAGUAACUCCUAACUGUGUCAGUAAGUAUCAUAUAU